AUGUUGUAUAUAUUUUUCUUAUAUAGAGUUGAUUAUGUGGAGUGUUCUUUUCUGUGUGCUUGCUUAGUUUACAUUAAAAUAUAGAAGUUUGACCCAAAAAGGUUGCUUGUUGUUAGCACUGGAGUCUUCUAACAUAAAUAAACUACGUAAAAUUCUUGGAUCAUUGCAAUUUAUGACACAAGAGAAAAAAAAUCUCGGGAAUAAUAGUUAUUUCUCUAUGUUUAUAUGUAAUGGGUGCAGUGUUGUUUUCUCCAGUGAAGCAGAGUGGGAUGGUAAACCCAGGAGGCCUUGUCCCAUGGCAAAUUCAAGAGUUGGUUAAUCAAUUUUCAUUAAACCAUUUAUUUUUACUAGGGAGUUAAUCUUAUGCACACUGUGACAUAGGGUAGGUUGAAGGAGAAGCAGCAAGGGCCAGGUCUAUUUCUCAAUGCAUCUUACAAAGCUUUUUUUUUAUCCAGAUUUUGUAUGUGACUUCCUGCACAUUUUAAAAAGACAAAAUGUAUGAAUGCGGAUCCCAUGUAAAAGUCCUUUACCAGCAACACCAUCUUAUAGGAAGGCUGUUUUUUCAUAACAUUUUAACAAUAAAGCAUGCUUCAAUACAAUACCACAAUUAAGACAAAGUAAUAAUUAUAAAAACUACAUUAACGUAUAUACAGUACUUUUCCUAAUAGGGAUUAGGAAAGAUGACACAGUAAAGGAUAAGUGGUUACAAAAGGAUUGUUUUAUGUGUGAAUAUUUAUAGUGUGGUACUAAAAUACAUGGCUUUUAUGCAUCAAGUGUAUAUUUUCUUUAUCCUCAUUAAUUGUCCUUUAAUUUGUUUAUGUAUUGUAUCAGAGCAGGUAUAGAGAAAUAUUUUUUUUCAUAUAGUGAUUUUGCCAGUUGGAUACAUGACCAAGCUGUCAACCAAAUUAUCACCAGUCAAAAAAAUGUUUUAUUUUUAGUUUUUUAAAUUGUGCAUCUACCUUUAACUUGCCUUGACCAAAUUCUUAUUUUUAUUGAUCAGUGUUUUGGAAAGUAAAAAAAGAAGCAAGAAAGGAAAAAAGCACAAAAAGGAGAAGAGAAAGAAAAAGAAGCACCAAAGUAAACAGUUUUCUUCCUCUGAUUCCGAGUCGGACAACAUAAAUAGGAAGAAAAGGACCCUUCAUCCAUCAUAUUCGCUGCAAUUUGGUGCUGUGCCGGGUGGUAGACAUUCAUCAGCAGAGACUGAACAGCGGUCCUCUGGCAGUAGGCAGCAGCGCCAUGACACAGAUUCAUCUGGGUCUUCACCAGAUGGGUCAAAUGUGGCUUACUACCUUCACAACAGCAGGGAAGCAAUAAAUUCUCCUCAUGCUCGUGGGAUGAAACGACACUAGCAAAUCUAACUCUUGUGCACAAUUGUACUAUUAACAUAGAAAGUAGUGUCAGUUGAAGAAUUUCUGGUACUAGGUGUCUAGUGGAUUCUGAAAUGUUAAACUCAGUCUCCUUCAUUGACCUAAAAGUAUUGUAUUUAUGAUGGUUAAAUUGAUGGAUAAGUUGGAUGUGUUUUGAAAAGUGGUGCAGUAUUUUUAAAAAUGUUUUAUGGAAUUGUUUUUCCAUUUUGUUUGUUUUCAAAUACAAUAUGGUUGCCAAGUAAUUUGUGCAUUCACUUAA
Polypterus senegalus (gray bichir) is the source of this 1626-nucleotide long non-coding RNA. RefSeq lists it as uncharacterized. Lineage: Eukaryota; Metazoa; Chordata; Cladistia; Polypteriformes; Polypteridae. The transcript is spliced from 2 exons. The record is from RefSeq and is a predicted model, not a curated record.